RNAcentral lists this ribosomal RNA (445 nucleotides) under uncultured bacterium. Its description in RNAcentral is "partial 16S ribosomal RNA". It matches the Rfam family "Bacterial small subunit ribosomal RNA", at positions 354 to 796 of the family's 1533-position model. The record is from RNAcentral.
GUGAGGAAUAUUGGUCAAUGGGCGAGAGCCUGAACCAGCCAAGUCGCGUGAAGGAAGAAGGAUCUAUGGUUCGUAAACUUCUUUUGCAGGGGAAUAAAGUGCGGGACGUGUCCUGUUUUGUAUGUACCCUGAGAAUAAGGAUCGGCUAACUCCGUGCCAGCAGCCGCGGUAAUACGGAGGAUCCGAGCGUUAUCCGGAUUUAUUGGGGUACAAGGGUGCGUAGGUGGUUUGAUAAGUCAGCGGUGAAAGUUUGCAGCUUAACUGUAAAAAUGCCGUUGGAACUGUCGGACUUGAGUGUAAAUGAGGUAGGCGGAAUGCGUGGUGUAGCGCUGAAAUGCAUAGAUAUCACGCAGAACUCCGAUUGCGAAGGCAGCUUACUAAGCUACAACUGACACUGAAGCACGAAAGCGUGGGGAUCAAACAGGAUUAGAUACCCCGGUAGUCC